This is a long non-coding RNA of Poeciliopsis prolifica (blackstripe livebearer), 2061 nucleotides long. RefSeq lists it as uncharacterized. The record is from RefSeq and is a predicted model, not a curated record. Lineage: Eukaryota; Metazoa; Chordata; Actinopteri; Cyprinodontiformes; Poeciliidae. The transcript is spliced from 2 exons.
UUCAACUCUAAAACAAUAAAUCCUAUUCAUAGAAUCACAUCAUCAAUAAUUUAUGAAUAGAGUAAAACACUCAGCAAGCUGCAGGUAAAUGUUAUCAUUUAGCUGGUAAAGAAUAAUUAUUGCCCUGUCAAUAAAUGAUUUCUAAUAGAUUGUUAUUACCAGAGGAAACAGAAACGGCUUCAUGAGGUCAGAGGUCAAACUGAUGAAGAAAGAGGAUGGAUGCUCUCUGCUAAAAUAUUCCUGCAUCUUCCAUCAUCUUUCAGCAAACAGUUGAGAUAAAGUUGGUUCUGGUUUCACCACCAUUUACCUGCUGUUUUACCUGCCAGUGAAAGUUUCAUUAAAAGUUUGUUAAUCUGCAGCUCAUGAGACGGAACCAGCCGAGGAGAUGAAAAGUUCAAACUGGAGUUAAACUCAAGUUAAAUGUUAAGUUUGAACAUUUUAGCUCACAAGCUCUAGUUGGGUAACCCUGAGAUCACCAGAUCCUCUUAAAGAUGGCAUCUCUGAGAAAGUCCUUAAAGAUACAGGAAGUGUUUUCUGCAAAGUGGAGCUGAAUGUCCAGGAACGACACCAGGAAUUUAAAAUGUUCCAGUUUCAACAGGUUGGCCAUCGAGAGAAACUGGAAUCACUUUCAGGUUUUGUUUAUCUCAUUUAAUUAUCUCUACUUCCUUAAGAAAAUGAAAAGAUAUGUUGUUCUGAGAGGGAAUUUAUAUUUUACCGUUCCAGUAUUACCAGAAUUAAUAUUGAACAAUAAGAACUUUGUGCUAUUUAGUAAUGUAAUUACAUUAGUUGUAUUACCUCCCCUCGCCACUAGAGGCAGCAUCAGGCCAAAAAGAUGCGACUAAAUAGCAGAUUUAGAAGAAUGCCGAAAGCUACAGAAUUAGUUACAAACUGUGAGCUGAAGUAAAUAAGAGAGAGAGUUAAAUACCUGCUGAGAGUGAAAAUCCUUCCUAAAGAUAAAAAUAUAAAAAAAUAUAUCACAGAUUUCUAAGAAAAUAAAAACGAAAGCUCAUGUAUAUAGGAAAUAGCGCCCCCUUCACUUCCGGAGUGCAACGGUCCAUUUCCAAAUAAGGUCUGAGGCUAACAGCGGUCCGUCGCCCUUCCUGUUAGCUGCAGCAGGUUCUUCUCGACCUGCAGGUCCGGUGGAUGUGCUGAAGUCUGGACCGUUUCAACCAGAACCGCUGAACCGCAGCUGGUUGACGUCUUUUCUGUUUCUCAGGUCAGAGCUGCAGUAUUUUUAGAAAAUUGAGCCAAAUGUUCCUUCAUGCACAAAAGCAGAGCCACUGACACUCCUCCAGUUGGAUAAAAACUCUAAACACAAUCUUGUAGAUGACCCUGUGACCUUUUGGUGUUUGAUGUGAGCCCAGUGAAUAACCAGAAACUUUGGGACUCUGCCGUCUCCCUGUGGUCGUCCUCGUCUCUCGUUGUGCCUUUUGUCUCUGGUGUUUCAUACCACUUUGUCCCCUCUGAUCGCUUCUGAUGUUAGAAUGCCUGCAGGUUGUAACAGGAAGCCGGUCGUAACAGGAAGCCGGUCGUAACAGGAAGCAGGUCGUAACAGGAAGCCGGUCGUAACAGGAAGCAGGUCGUAACAGGAAGCCGGUCAUAACAGGAAGCAGGUCGUAACAGGAAGCCGGUCGUAACAGGAAGUGUGUUGCUUUGUGGCGGGGAAAUAUCUUAUAUAAACAUCUUUGGGUUUGAGGCAAUAAAAAUUCUUGAAUUUGUUUUGGAUUGUAUUGAAUUAUUGAAAUGUAUUGAUUGUAAGUUGAAUGGUGACUUGGUGCCAAUGCAAUAGUAGUGAUCAAUAAGUAAAAAUGUUCAAUUGUCUUGACUUGGAUCACAUGAACUGAAAGUAUCCUGAAGCCUAAACGAGCUGUACCUGAGAAAAGGCUUAUUUCUUGUGAUAAUGAUGUAACGUUGCUUUGUGGACCUGGAAGCGUUUUUCUGUCUCUUAUCAGGGUCUCUGUUGACCUUUCACCUCCUCUGUAGAGCCGUGUUGUUACUGAUUUGUGGUCGGCUCAAAGUGCUUUUCCAUCACAGUAAAUAAAGAACUCAUUCUCACCUUCA